UACGAAAGGUGCGAACGUUGCUCGGAAUUACUGGGCGUAAAGCGCACGUAGGCGGCCUAGUAAGAGGGGGGUGAAAUACCAGGGCUCAACCCUGGAACUGCCUUCAUACCUGCAAAGCUAGAGGAUGCGAGAGGUUAGCGGAAUUCCGAGUGUAGAGGUGAAAUUCGUAGAUAUUCGGAAGAACACCAGUGGCGAAGGCGGCUAACUGGAACAUUUCUGACGCUGAGGUGCGAAAGCGCGGGGAGCAAACAGG
This 253-nucleotide ribosomal RNA is filed under the name uncultured bacterium. Its description in RNAcentral is "partial 16S ribosomal RNA". It matches the Rfam family "Bacterial small subunit ribosomal RNA", at positions 524 to 776 of the family's 1533-position model. The record is from RNAcentral.